ACCGGGCCAUAGAGAGACUCCACUCAUCUUACUAGAAGAAGACCAAUCAAAACCCCCUUUUGGGUUUAUACUUUCCGAUUCUCCAACCCAAUUGAAGCUUGUUAGCAAUCGUGAGCUUAGCACCCUUCAACGACGCCGUUCCAACCCACAUGUGUUCGCUUCAGCGGCGGAGCUCCCUCCCUAUGGGCCAGGUUGUUUUAUGAAGCAAGAUAUCUAACAUUGCUGGAGGAGGUACUAGAUAUUAUCCUGCAUCUUUAUGUAUUCUUGAAGGGUCUUGCAUAUGUUAAUGAAGGUUGAGCGAUUAGAUGUCGGAGCCUUACUCUCUAUCAGAGGUGUAGGUCGUGUCACAAUUGUGAAAUUUGUGCAGGGAACCUCAUACACCCACCAGUUUUCCUAAAGGGCACAUUGUUCCUUCUUGGUAUCCUUGACCAUGGUUUGCACGAAGGUUAAGUAUGAAUUGAUUGCUGAUGAACGUGCACGGAGGCAGACAUUUCGGAAAAGGAAGGCUGGAUUAUUGAAGAAGGACAAUGUUCCUUAGCAUGAAAGCAAAAUAAGGUCUAAAGCUAUGGAACUAAAGGAAGCUCUUUACAGUUUGAACAGCUUGGAAAUAAAGUUAAAGGUGUUGUCUCUCUCUAUCUGACCAUGUAUGCAUAUGCUUCUUCUUUUGUUUGUAUGUCUGUUUUCUGGUAAAAUAUGCCAUUCAACUCAACAAUCCUUGAUUCUACACAUUUGGAUUCUCUCGUGUUCUUUCUUUCUUUGUUUGUUUUUUGUUAGGUCAAUAGGACUUGGGCUUACAAAUUUCGUAGAAACAAACUGAAGUUUGCGACUAUAAUUUCUAGCAUGGAUUAGAAAUUUCAAAAGUUAGUUGGUGCACUUGGUUGAAGAAGGAAUUUCAAACUACAUUCAAGGGUACAAACAUAAUCUUCUUUCCCAAGGGUAAAAGUUUAUUUUAACACUUUGAUGUACUCACCAAAUUAUGGUUCAUGCAUACAUAAUUAGGGUUUCAAAGUUUUACAUGACUUGCUUUUAUUUGAUUCCCUAAAUCAUUGAAAACAUGAUAAAAGUGUUUUUGAAAAUUUCCUUUCAGUUUUUAUUUUAAAAAAAUAUAUAUAAAACAGUCAGUAGACUUCGAUUGAUCGAGUUUUCUAUCAAGGGUCACUAGAGUCAUGUCAAUUGAUCGGCGUGUAUUUUGAUCGAUCAAACCAUGCGGAAAAUCAAUUUCCAUUCUGGUCUAAAACACUUCCCACUCUAUUCUAUCUAUACUUCUGUUUUGCCCAUUUAUAUACCAGGUUAGGGCAGAAUACAUAUCAGUUCAUAUACACAGAGCUAUAUUGUGAGUUCCAGAGUUGCAUCAAUAUUUUUGUUUUUCUUUCAUUAUACUUACUUUUGGGGAGUUUUUUUCAAUUGUGUGUUGACAUCUUCGCUGCGGACUACUACUGAAGAGUUCAACAAUCCACAACUCAAAGAUUGAAGUGGGACUACUUGUGGUUGAGACUGAAUCAUUGGUAGAGAAGCAAAUUUGUGAGAAGCGAAGUCUGUUGACAAGUGGAUCAUGUGUCUGGAGAGUUAAAGUAGAUUUGGUGGGCCAAUCUAUGUCAAGGAGGCACCCAAGGAGGUAUUGUUGCAGACUCAAAUUGCAGAUGCUCUAAUGUGGGCUAAGAAGGAUCCCUCCCUAGAUUGUGAUGUAUUUUUCAUUCCAAUUCUUUGCCGAGCGUGUAUGCUUUGCAGCACUCCAACCUGUUUCAGAGCUAAAGAUUUCAACACAAUAAUCAAUCCAUCAUCAGAGAUUGAACAAGAGGACUAGUGGCUGAGACUGGAUCGCUGGUGGAGAAGCAAAUUCUUGAAGAGCGAAGUUUGUUGACGAACGGAUCGUGUGCAUGGAAACUCGAGAAGAGUUUGGUGGAUCGAUCUCUAUCAAGUUCCUCUGUCAUGCUUACGACACUGAUUGUCAUUUUACAAUCAUUGGUUGAAGUGUGGAGUUCCCACAGUCAAUGAACCAUUGGUUGCUGUUGGCCCUGCCAGAAGUUGAGGCAUCAUGAUGACAACUCCUUGUGAAAUGGAUCAACUCAAUCAGAAUUGCUCACGUUGUGAAAAGAGAAGUUAAGAGCAAUGGAUGUCAAAAACACGUUAGAACAGCUAGAUAUUUUGACAUAAUUUGUAAAGAAGAAUAUUUCCAUGGUUGCAGCCAAGCUCGCUAUUCAAUCGUUAGGGACACAAUGAGCAGUGAAAUUCUGAAGCCGGCCUUCUGGUGUCGAAAACCCUAAUAGAGAAGAUCAUAGCAUCAUUCAAAUUCAUGCUCAACCAUGUCCUCUAGUAUUCUGUAGGAAUGGUUAGAAUUCCAUUUUCACAUGGAUAAACAAGUGUAACAAAUCAAAAUUAUUUGAGUUCUUUUGUGUGAUCAUGUGGUAUAAGUGCUUUGAUAAAUUCUGCAGUCCAGUUUGUACCUUAAAUGAAUCAUUUUCUCUAUGAAGUAUGAAGAAGAGACAGGUAGAAUUGAUUAUAUUAUUACUAA
Cornus florida is the source of this 2512-nucleotide RNA transcript. It is a transcript of the gene named agamous-like MADS-box protein AGL80, with no coding region annotated. NCBI's taxonomy places the organism in Eukaryota, Viridiplantae, Streptophyta, Magnoliopsida, Cornales, Cornaceae. The transcript has 9 exons. The record is from RefSeq and is a predicted model, not a curated record.